This 600-nucleotide ribosomal RNA is filed under the name Mrakia cryoconiti. RNAcentral describes it as "eukaryotic LSU rRNA". The stretch from base 151 to 304 matches the Rfam family "5.8S ribosomal RNA". The record is from RNAcentral. Lineage: Eukaryota; Fungi; Basidiomycota; Tremellomycetes; Cystofilobasidiales; Mrakiaceae.
GAGAGUGUCUUCAUUGACCUCUCACCCUUCACAUCCACAUACACCUGUGCACCGUUUGGCUCUUUUAAAAGACGUAAGUCUGCAAAGAGAGUCAUCAAUUUUAUACAUACCCCAGUCUUAUGAAUGUAACAGUUUUAAUAAACAAAAUAAAACUUUUAACAACGGAUCUCUUGGUUCUCGCAUCGAUGAAGAACGCAGCGAAAUGCGAUAAGUAAUGUGAAUUGCAGAAUUCAGUGAAUCAUCGAAUCUUUGAACGCACCUUGCGCUCUUUGGUAUUCCGAAGAGCAUGCCUGUUUGAGUGUCAUGAAACUCUCAACUCCCAACUUUCUUAAUAGUCGGUUGGGAGCUUGGACUUGAGCGUUGCUGGUCUUUAUUGACCGGCUCGCUUGAAAUGAAUUAGCAGAUCCUUUUUGUAAUCGGUUCCACUCGACGUGAUAAGUAUUUCGCCGAGGACAUCUUAACGGAUGGCCGAGAUAAAGAAAGUCUUUAGAUCCGCUUCUAAUUAUUAGAUAGAGCUUGCUCUACUAAACCCCUUUUAUGAUCUGGCCUCAAAUCAGGUAGGACUACCCGCUGAACUUAAGCAUAUCAAUAAGCGGAGGA